CAGGUAGGCUGGGCGACCGCUGCCCCGAUGAUGGGGGAGAGGAAAGUCCGGGCUCCACCGGGCAGGGUGCUGGGUAACGCCCAGGCUUCCGUAUGAUGUUCCCCAUCAUACGGGGGACGGAAAGUGGCACAGAGACUAAACCGCCUCGGCAGGACUCACACUGGGCAUAGCCAUAGGGUCGAGGCAGUCGGGGUAAGGAUGAAAACGGACGGUAAGAGCGUCCGGCCGGCCAUGGCGACAUGGCGGCGGCCAAACCCCACCUGGAGCAAGGCCGAAUAGGGGAACUAUGGGUGCUCGGCCCGUUCCCGGGUUGGCCGCUUGAGUCCGUCGGCAACGGCGGACCUAGAGAGAUGGUCGCCGCUCCGGUCAAGCACCGAAGUACAGAACCCGGCUUACAGGUCUACCUGGCCU
This 411-nucleotide RNase P RNA is filed under the name Dehalococcoidia bacterium. RNAcentral's name for it is "RNase P RNA component class A". It matches the Rfam family "Bacterial RNase P class A". Rfam says of the family: Ribonuclease P (RNase P) is a ubiquitous endoribonuclease, found in archaea, bacteria and eukarya as well as chloroplasts and mitochondria. Its best characterised activity is the generation of mature 5'-ends of tRNAs by cleaving the 5'-leader elements of precursor-tRNAs. Cellular RNase Ps are ribonucleoproteins. The record is from RNAcentral. Lineage: Bacteria; Bacillati; Chloroflexota; Dehalococcoidia.